RNAcentral lists this ribosomal RNA (3072 nucleotides) under Campylobacter jejuni. RNAcentral's name for it is "23S ribosomal RNA". It matches the Rfam family "Bacterial large subunit ribosomal RNA". The record is from RNAcentral. Lineage: Bacteria; Pseudomonadati; Campylobacterota; Epsilonproteobacteria; Campylobacterales; Campylobacteraceae.
AAAAAAGGUAAGCUACUAAGAGCGAAUGGUGGAAUGCCUUGACUGGUAAAGGCGAUGAAGGACGUACUAGACUGCGAUAAGCUACGGGGAGCUGUCAAGAAGCUUUGAUCCGUAGAUUUCCGAAUGGGGCAACCCAAUGUAUAGAGAUAUACAUUACCUAUAUAGGAGCGAACGAGGGGAAUUGAAACAUCUUAGUACCCUCAGGAAAAGAAAUCAAUAGAGAUUGCGUCAGUAGCGGCGAGCGAAAGCGCAAGAGGGCAAACCCAGUGCUUGCACUGGGGGUUGUAGGACUGCAAUGUGCAAGAGGUAAGUUUAGCAGAACAUUCUGGAAAGUAUAACCAUAGAGGGUGAUAGUCCCGUAUGCGAAAAACAAACCUUAGCUAGCAGUAUCCUGAGUAGGGCGGGACACGAGGAAUCCUGUCUGAAUCCGGGUCGACCACGAUCCAACCCUAAAUACUAAUACCAGAUCGAUAGUGCACAAGUACCGUGAGGGAAAGGUGAAAAGAACUGAGGUGAUCAGAGUGAAAUAGAACCUGAAACCAUUUGCUUACAAUCAUUCAGAGCCCUAUGUAGCAAUACAGGGUGAUGGACUGCCUUUUGCAUAAUGAGCCUGCGAGUUGUGGUGUCUGGCAAGGUUAAGCAAACGCGAAGCCGUAGCGAAAGCGAGUCUGAAUAGGGCGCUUAGUCAGAUGCUGCAGACCCGAAACGAAGUGAUCUAUCCAUGAGCAAGUUGAAGCUAGUGUAAGAACUAGUGGAGGACUGAACCCAUAGGCGUUGAAAAGCCCCGGGAUGACUUGUGGAUAGGGGUGAAAGGCCAAUCAAACUUCGUGAUAGCUGGUUCUCUCCGAAAUAUAUUUAGGUAUAGCGUUGUGUCGUAAUAUAAGGGGGUAGAGCACUGAAUGGGCUAGGGCAUACACCAAUGUACCAAACCCUAUCAAACUCCGAAUACCUUAUAUGUAAUCACAGCAGUCAGGCGGCGAGUGAUAAAAUCCGUCGUCAAGAGGGAAACAACCCAGACUACCAGCUAAGGUCCCUAAAUCUUACUUAAGUGGAAAACGAUGUGAAGUUACUUAAACAACCAGGAGGUUGGCUUAGAAGCAGCCAUCCUUUAAAGAAAGCGUAAUAGCUCACUGGUCUAGUGAUUUUGCGCGGAAAAUAUAACGGGGCUAAAGUAAGUACCGAAGCUGUAGACUUGCACACAACUUAGAUUAUUUAAGUUUAGAAUAUGAGAAACUAAGUUAUAUGUUUAGUUAUAUUUUUACUGAUUUUUAUAGAGUAAAGAUAGAAAUAAAACUUAGUAAAAUCAGUAAAAAUAUUCUUAGACUAAAGUUAAGUAGUUUAAGUUGUGUGCAAGUGGUAGGAGAGCGUUCUAUUUGCGUCGAAGGUAUACCGGUAAGGAGUGCUGGAGCGAAUAGAAGUGAGCAUGCAGGCAUGAGUAGCGAUAAUUAAUGUGAGAAUCAUUAACGCCGUAAACCCAAGGUUUCCUACGCGAUGCUCGUCAUCGUAGGGUUAGUCGGGUCCUAAGUCGAGUCCGAAAGGGGUAGACGAUGGCAAAUUGGUUAAUAUUCCAAUACCAACAUUAGUGUGCGAUGGAAGGACGCUUAGGGCUAAGGGGGCUAGCGGAUGGAAGUGCUAGUCUAAGGUCGUAGGAGGUUAUACAGGCAAAUCCGUAUAACAAUACUCCGAGAACUGAAAGGCUUUUUGAAGUCUUCGGAUGGAUAGAAGAACCCCUGAUGCCGUCGAGCCAAGAAAAGUUUCUAAGUUUAGCUAAUGUUGCCCGUACCGUAAACCGACACAGGUGGGUGGGAUGAGUAUUCUAAGGCGCGUGGAAGAACUCUCUUUAAGGAACUCUGCAAAAUAGCACCGUAUCUUCGGUAUAAGGUGUGGUUAGCUUUGUAUUAGGAUUUACUCCGAAAGCAAGGAAACUUACAACAAAGAGUCCCUCCCGACUGUUUACCAAAAACACAGCACUCUGCUAACUCGUAAGAGGAUGUAUAGGGUGUGACGCCUGCCCGGUGCUCGAAGGUUAAUUGAUGGGGUUAGCAUUAGCGAAGCUCUUGAUCGAAGCCCGAGUAAACGGCGGCCGUAACUAUAACGGUCCUAAGGUAGCGAAAUUCCUUGUCGGUUAAAUACCGACCUGCAUGAAUGGCGUAACGAGAUGGGAGCUGUCUCAAAGAGGGAUCCAGUGAAAUUGUAGUGGAGGUGAAAAUUCCUCCUACCCGCGGCAAGACGGAAAGACCCCGUGGACCUUUACUACAGCUUGACACUGCUACUUGGAUAAGAAUGUGCAGGAUAGGUGGGAGGCUUUGAGUAUAUGACGCCAGUUGUAUAUGAGCCAUUGUUGAGAUACCACUCUUUCUUAUUUGGGUAGCUAACCAGCUUGAGUUAUCCUCAAGUGGGACAAUGUCUGGUGGGUAGUUUGACUGGGGCGGUCGCCUCCCAAAUAAUAACGGAGGCUUACAAAGGUUGGCUCAGAACGGUUGGAAAUCGUUCGUAGAGUAUAAAGGUAUAAGCCAGCUUAACUGCAAGACAUACAAGUCAAGCAGAGACGAAAGUCGGUCUUAGUGAUCCGGUGGUUCUGUGUGGAAGGGCCAUCGCUCAAAGGAUAAAAGGUACCCCGGGGAUAACAGGCUGAUCUCCCCCAAGAGCUCACAUCGACGGGGAGGUUUGGCACCUCGAUGUCGGCUCAUCGCAUCCUGGGGCUGGAGCAGGUCCCAAGGGUAUGGCUGUUCGCCAUUUAAAGCGGUACGCGAGCUGGGUUCAGAACGUCGUGAGACAGUUCGGUCCCUAUCUGCCGUGGGCGUAAGAAGAUUGAAGAGAUUUGACCCUAGUACGAGAGGACCGGGUUGAACAAACCACUGGUGUAGCUGUUGUUCUGCCAAGAGCAUCGCAGCGUAGCUAAGUUUGGAAAGGAUAAACGCUGAAAGCAUCUAAGCGUGAAGCCAACUCUAAGAUGAAUCUUCUCUAAGCUCUCUAGAAGACUACUAGUUUGAUAGGCUGGGUGUGUAAUGGAUGAAAGUCCUUUAGCUGACCAGUACUAAUAGAGCGUUUGGCUUAUCUUUAAUAAAGCAU